UGGGGAAUUUUGGACAAUGGGCGAAAGCCUGAUCCAGCAAUGCCGCGUGUGUGAAGAAGGCCUUCGGGUUGUAAAGCACUUUUGUCCGGAAAGAAAUCCUUGGCUCUAAUACAGUCGGGGGAUGACGGUACCGGAAGAAUAAGCACCGGCUAACUACGUGCCAGCAGCCGCGGUAAUACGUAGGGUGCAAGCGUUAAUCGGAAUUACUGGGCGUAAAGCGUGCGCAGGCGGUUUGCUAAGACCGAUGUGAAAUCCCCGGGCUCAACCUGGGAACUGCAUUGGUGACUGGCAGGCUAGAGUAUGGCAGAGGGGGUAGAAUUCCACGUGUAGCAGUGAAAUGCGUAGAGAUGUGGAGGAAUACCGAUGGCGAAGGCAGCCCCCUGGGCCAAUACUGACGCUCAUGCACGAAAGCGUGGGGAGCAAACAGGAUUAGAUACCCUGGUAGUCCACGCCCUAAACGAUGUCAACUAGUUGUUGGGGAUUCAUUUCCUUAGUAACGUAGCUAACGCGUGAAGUUGACCGCCUGGGGAGUACGGUCGCAAGAUUAAAACUCAAAGGAAUUGACGGGGUCAUAGCUG
This 578-nucleotide ribosomal RNA is filed under the name uncultured bacterium. RNAcentral's name for it is "partial 16S ribosomal RNA". It matches the Rfam family "Bacterial small subunit ribosomal RNA", at positions 355 to 932 of the family's 1533-position model. The record is from RNAcentral.